This 301-nucleotide ribosomal RNA is filed under the name uncultured bacterium. Its description in RNAcentral is "partial 16S ribosomal RNA". It matches the Rfam family "Bacterial small subunit ribosomal RNA", at positions 509 to 807 of the family's 1533-position model. The record is from RNAcentral.
CAGUCGCCACGGUAAUACGAGGGGGGCUAGCGUUGCUCGGAAUGACUGGGCGUAAAGGGCGCGUAGGCGGCGAUCAAAGUCAGGCGUGAAAUUCCUGGGCUCAACCUGGGGGCUGCGCUUGAUACUUGGUUGCUUGAGUGGGGAAGAGGGUCGUGGAAUUCCCAGUGUAGAGGUGAAAUUCGUAGAUAUUGGGAAGAACACCGGUGGCGAAGGCGGCGACCUGGUCCUUGACUGACGCUGAGGCGCGAAAGCGUGGGGAGCAAACAGGAUUAGAUACCCCGGUAGUCCCUGUCUCUUAUAC